Long non-coding RNA from Carassius auratus (goldfish), 1350 nucleotides. NCBI's taxonomy places the organism in Eukaryota, Metazoa, Chordata, Actinopteri, Cypriniformes, Cyprinidae. The record is from Ensembl.
AUAUACCACAAGAUAUAAAAAUAAGCAAAUACAAUAAAAGUAAGAAGUAAACAAUGAAAAUGAAUUAGGAUUAAAUAAGAUUCAGCAUUAGGGAAAAAAACUGGAUUGAUAAUAAUUAUUGUUUGUUAUUUACUGUAUUAACACUUUGGCUGCUAUUGAGGUGCAUAAGAUUAAUUAAGAAUAGCUUAAUUACCAAUGUAAUCACAGAGAGAUAAUUACAGAUGUGAUUUCAUCAGUUAUGUUUGAAUAAAAGCACAAGGUAAGACACGAAUAAGUGCAUCGUGUCGAAUUGUCGUGGUUUGAAUGCACACUGAACUGACUCCAGUUCCCACAGUGCAGCGCGGCGGCUGGGUGUCACGUGACGUCUGCGCGUCUCCUCGCUGUGGGCUCGUCUCUCAAUCACACUGACCCGUGUGAGGAUGUGAGGAUGUGCUGCUGAUAUCAGGCUCGGGACGCGUGUGGAUGCUCGGGGCUCGGAGAAUCAAAGACCAGAGGAGCUGCAUGCGACUCAGAAACAUGUGGAUUACUUUCCAGGAGAAGGACUCACAGGACAAACAGAAACAACCUUACUUCUCACGCACUGGAUUACUGUUACUUCAUUACAGCUGAACUGGGUCCACCCUGACUUUGUAUUGCGCUUCCUGAAGAAAGGAGAAGCCCUGAUGUGCUUGUCACCCGAGCUGAUGGCCGGGGGGGCGAGAGGGAGCUCAAAUGUCUUCACUCAGUCCCUCAUCAGACACUCAAAGGAACUCUGUUUCAGCCUGAUUACGAGCCGAUUGGAUAUAAUGUUGAGCGGCGGACUCAGGAGAUGGGGAGGGAUUGGGAAACACUACAGUAGGAUUUGCAGGGAAGGAUUGUCUUUCUCCAGAUGUAGGAAAUGAGCGUCGGAGGGUUCCUGGUGCCAGGCGGCUCUCUUCUCUUGUUACAACACGGGACCAAAUUCAAACCAUGUGUCCUCGCACCCAGUUAGCUGCUUUUGCCCACCUCGAGCAUUAUCAGUCUGAACGGAUCUGUUUCACUGGCCCUCUCCAGUGCAGUGUUCUCGUUCUUCCAGCCCCAGACGAGCCUCUCCGUGGGAAUCCUGGAUUAAUAGGCUGGAAAUUUCGCAUGUCCGGUCUCCGAAGGUGUCUGUUAUCCUCCGAGGACCCCGUGCAAGCUUCAAGCUCAUAUUAUGGGAAGCUGGACGAGGUGGAUAGCAGGAUGUCAGAUGUGAUUCUUCACACAGAUUUUCAAGGUGAGUAUUGUUUGAUCAGGUUUCAGGGUUCUUUCUGUGUGAACACAGUGUGCUCCUCCAAACUCAGUCAGAAGAGACCAGCUCUUGCUAGCCACACUAAUGUCAUUUUGUUGUGA